CUGACACAAUACUGUUUUUAUUCCUCUCCUUUCACGCUUCACUAACUGGCCUUAUUUGAGUUAUGAGUCUGUUUAGUAUGUCAUAUAUAAGUCAUAUUAACUCCAGAUGGACUCCUUGACAACCUUAUCAAAAGAACACCUGCACAAUCCUUUUUUCCUUAGAGUGUAUGAACAUACUGCUGUUAUUGAUAUAGAUGUCAGUCAGUUGUUUCCGAACAUCUGGAGUUUCUUAGUUUUAUUACAGUUUAAUUACUAUUAUUGCCACAGACCAAACAAAAGGAUACAGAACAGCAACAUAAAUCGUUGUUGGACUUCACUGCUCGCUGUCAGAUCCUAACAGAACUCCAAAUGAGGGCUUUGUUAAAAGCAGAUGCACAUAAAGGAAUGCCUUUGACAAUAGAAGAACAUAUUGAAAUCAUUCUCAUGGCUUUAUAGGGAAACUGUCACAAAGAUGUGAUGGACUUUAAAAGGAAACACGGUGAGCACAUCAAACAAACGACAAUCCUGCCAAAAUUAACAAAUCCAAAAAGACUGGAAGUGUAGUGGAUCAAGCGAGAAGUGGGCAUCCGUGAAUAUUCACUGACCAAGACACAACCGACGUGGUGCUGGCAAACAUGGUCCCCUAUGUAUGGAGGGAGACUUUUGGGACACACUCAAUAAUUGAUGGAACAACAACAAUUUCCUUUUGCUGGAUUAUCAGAAAUCUAGUUGAAAUUUGGAUGUCUGUAGUAUUUUCAGUUGGAUGGCUUUCACUGACUAGAAAUAAAGGAUGAAAGGAUUGUAAGAAGAAGUAAAUGAAUAAUUCACUCGUGCAGCUUCAAAAGUGAAAUCAGAAAAUAUAUAUUUGAAAGUGCUCUUUCUUAAGAAUUUCUAUUACAAACAAAUACUUGUUAUACAUGUACAAGUACAAUGCAAAUGAAAGCAGAUUUACAUCAACAUACACGCAGAAAAAUAUGAACUCGGUCAAGCAAAGACAUUUCAUGCGUCAUCAGUUAAUCUAUAUCCGUUUCGAAAGCAACAAG
Ictalurus punctatus (channel catfish) is the source of this 1022-nucleotide long non-coding RNA. The record is from Ensembl. NCBI's taxonomy places the organism in Eukaryota, Metazoa, Chordata, Actinopteri, Siluriformes, Ictaluridae.